UGCUGGAGGUAUCAGAAGUGCGAAUGCUGACAUAAGUAACGAUAAAGCGGGUGAAAAGCCCGCUCGCCGGAAGACCAAGGGUUCCUGUCCAACGUUAAUCGGGGCAGGGUGAGUCGACCCCUAAGGCGAGGCCGAAAGGCGUAGUCGAUGGGAAACGGGUUAAUAUUCCCGUACUUGGUGUUACUGCGAAGGGGGGACGGAGAAGGCUAUGUUGGCCGGGCGACGGUUGUCCCGGUUUAAGCGUGUAGGUGUGUGUUCCAGGUAAAUCCGGUUCACUUUAACACUGAGGCGUGAYGACGAGGCACUACGGUGCUGAAGCAACAAAUGCCCUGCUUCCAGGAAAAGCCUCUAAGCAUCAGGUAACAUCAAAUCGUACCCCAAACCGACACAGGUGGUCAGGUAGAGAAUACCAAGGCGCUUGAGAGAACUCGGGUGAAGGAACUAGGCAAAAUGGUGCCGUAACUUCGGGAGAAGGCACGCUGACAYGUAGGUGAAGUGAUUUACUCAYGGAGCUGAAGUCAGUCGAAGAUACCAGCUGGCUGCAACUGUUUAUUAAAAACACAGCACUGUGCAAACACGAAAGUGGACGUAUACGGUGUGACGCCUGCCCGGUGCCGGAAGGUUAAUUGAUGGGGUCAGCGCAAGCGAAGCUCCUGAUCGAAGCCCCGGUAAACGGCGGCCGUAACUAUAACGGUCCUAAGGUAGCGAAAUUCCUUGUCGGGUAAGUUCCGACCUGCACGAAUGGCGUAAUGAUGGCCAGGCUGUCUCCACCCGAGACUCAGUGAAAUUGAACUCGCUGUGAAGAUGCAGUGUACCCGCGGCAAGACGGAAAGACCCCGUGAACCUUUACUAUAGCUUGACACUGAACAUUGAGCCUUGAUGUGUAGGAUAGGUGGGAGGCUUUGAAGYGUGGACGCCAGUCUGCRUGGAGCCGACCUUGAAAUACCACCCUUUAAUGUUUGAUGUUCUAACGUGGAYCCGURAUCCGGGUUGCGGACAGUGUCUGGUGGGUAGUUUGACUGGGGCGGUCUCCUCCUAAAGAGUAACGGAGGAGCACGAAGGUUGGCUAAUCCUGGUCGGACAUCAGGAGGUUAGUGCAAUGGCAUAAGCCAGCUUGACUGCGAGCGUGACGGCGCGAGCAGGUGCGAAAGCAGGUCAUAGUGAUCCGGUGGUUCUGAAUGGAAGGGCCAUCGCUCAACGGAUAAAAGGUACUCCGG
RNAcentral lists this ribosomal RNA (1217 nucleotides) under Salmonella enterica subsp. enterica serovar Infantis. RNAcentral describes it as "partial 23S ribosomal RNA". The record is from RNAcentral. Lineage: Bacteria; Pseudomonadati; Pseudomonadota; Gammaproteobacteria; Enterobacterales; Enterobacteriaceae.